Molecule: long non-coding RNA, 756 nt
Organism: Humulus lupulus (European hop)
Lineage: Eukaryota; Viridiplantae; Streptophyta; Magnoliopsida; Rosales; Cannabaceae
Exons: 2
Source: RefSeq, a predicted model, not a curated record
ACCAAAAUUAAAAUAAUAAUACUAAAUAUAAUUUAACAAAAUAACCCAAGUUGAAUCCUUGGUCUCCCAUUCUACUUCGUCUUCAUCAUCGUCUUCAGGUGUUGUCGGAGGGGUGCAGAGUCAUCGAGCCGAAGUCGCUGGUGCGACAAAAACUGAUGGAAGGAGAUCGGCACCGAAGUUUGAAUCUUGUAGUGAAGUCGCCGUCAGAAGGGGAUUAGGGCCCAAGUCAUCAUCAAUGGCUAUGGGUCGAGUUUCUGGCGACGGGGGUUGCAAAUCGUCGACACACGACGACUCAGAGAUGGCUCUGGUGUGGGCGAGCAUGCAAUCUGGUGGGUGUAGAUCUGGUUGGGUCAUGACUCCAAAUCUUGAGCAAGGAGGUUGUAGGUAAGAGGCUUGGAGGCGCUUCGGUUAUCAACGAAGGUGUUGGAUUUGGGCUUGGAGGCUAGUUCUCGAUAUCAACUGGUGUGGCUAGAUCGAAGUCUCUUGAUUUGUAUCGGCCUCGAUAUCGACUGUGCGAAUUGUGAAGAGGGAUUUUGAGCUGGGUUCGAUCGAAGUCUCUUGAUUUGUAUCACCCUCUAAUUAGAUGUGCACAAAUUUGAAUAAAAAUUUAGAGAGGAUUUUGAAUUUUGUUUUUUAUUGUUUGGGUGAACAUAUUUUGAUUUGAUUCUGGGUUUGGAAUCUUAAUCUAGGUUUCAUGGAUGAACUCAUAACAUGUUUUGCUUUGAUUAUUUAAUAUGAAUGUCGGUUUUUUUUUUC